Molecule: ribosomal RNA, 465 nt
Filed under: Vreelandella stevensii
Lineage: Bacteria; Pseudomonadati; Pseudomonadota; Gammaproteobacteria; Oceanospirillales; Halomonadaceae
Description: partial 16S ribosomal RNA
Rfam family: Bacterial small subunit ribosomal RNA
Source: RNAcentral
CCUACGGGAGGCAGCAGUGGGGAAUAUUGGACAAUGGGGGGAACCCUGAUCCAGCCAUGCGGCGUGUGUGAAGAAGGCCCUCGGGUUGUAAAGCACUUUCAGUGAGGAAGAACGCCUGGUGGUUAAUACCCAUCAGGAAAGACAUCACUCACAGAAGAAGCACCGGCUAACUCCGUGCCAGCAGCCGCGGUAAUACGGAGGUUGCGAGCGUUAAUCGGAAUUACUGGGCGUAAAGCGCGCGUAGGUGGCUUGAUAAGCCGGUUGUGAAAGCCCCGGGCUCAACCUGGGAACGGCAUCCGGAACUGUCAAGCUAGAGUGCAGGAGAGGACGGUAGAAUUCCCGGUGUAGCGGUGAAAUGCGUAGAGAUCGGGAGGAAUACCAGUGGCGAAGGCGGCCUUCUGGACUGACACUGACACUGAGGUGCGAAAGCGUGGGUAGCAAACAGGAUUAGAUACCCGGGUAGUC